Molecule: ribosomal RNA, 461 nt
Filed under: uncultured bacterium
Lineage: Bacteria
Description: partial 16S ribosomal RNA
Rfam family: Bacterial small subunit ribosomal RNA
Source: RNAcentral
GAUGAAUGCUGGCGGCGUGCCUAACACAUGCAAGUCGAGCGGUAACGGGCCUUCGGGUGCCGACGAGCGGCGGACGGCUGAGUAACGCGUGGGAACAUACCCCAAAGUGAGGGAUAACCGCCCGAAAGGGUGGCUAAUACCGCAUAUGGUCUUCGGAUUAAAGGAUUUAUCCGCUUUGGGAAUGGCCUGCGUACGAUUAGAUAGUUGGUGAGGUAAUGGCUCACCAAGUCGACGAUCGUUAACUGGUUUGAGAGGAUGAUCAGUCAGACUGGAACUGAGACACGGUCCAGACUCCUACGGGAGGCAGCAGUGAGGAAUCUUCCACAAUGGGCGAAAGCCUGAUGGAGCAACGCCGCGUGCAGGAUGAAGGCCUUCGGGUUGUAAACUGCUUUUAUAAGUGAAGAAUAUGACGGUAACUUAUGAAUAAGCACCGGCUAACUACGUGCCAGCAGCCGCCGUAA